This 253-nucleotide ribosomal RNA is filed under the name uncultured bacterium. Its description in RNAcentral is "partial 16S ribosomal RNA". It matches the Rfam family "Bacterial small subunit ribosomal RNA", at positions 524 to 776 of the family's 1533-position model. The record is from RNAcentral.
UACAGAGGUCUCAACCGUUGUUCGGAUUCAUUGGGCGUAAAGGGUGCGUAGGCGGUCGUGCAAGUCGGAUGUGAAAUCUCAGGGCUCAACCCUGAAACUGCAUUCGAUACUGCGUGGCUAGAGUACUGGAGAGGAGAUUGGAAUUUACGGUGUAGCAGUGAAAUGCGUAGAUAUCGUAAGGAAGACCAGUGGCGAAGGCGAAUCUCUGGACAGUUACUGACACUGAGGCACGAAGGCCAGGGGAGCAAACGGG